GACAAUCCUGAAGAUGGCGCCGUUGUUCCUCUGGGGUGAGUUGAGCACAACCCAGCUGCAUGGGUUCCUCCCGGACUGCAGGGGGCGUGGGUGAAGCAGGAGGGAGUCUGCUGCCAGAGGGGUGCCACCUCUGGAGUAGUUGUAAACCUGACAAUGGCCCUGGCACAGGUCAAUAGUUGCUCAUGCUGCCUCUGGACGAAUAUCUUGCAAAGCGUGUUAGUGAAGAGGUCUAAUGAGUAGCACAUGGGGGAGAUUUGGGCCCACUCAGCCAUUGGCCAGGCUUCAGCUCGACCACUCAGCAGCAUCUUAUCGUAUAGGAAGAGGUGCCUCUGCAUGGGCUUAAACCUGGCCAGAUCCUUCACCUGAAAUCAGAGAGUGACCUUUGGAAAUCAGGAGACAGUGUAACAGACUUUUCCAACAUCUUGUGGAGUCCAUGCCAAGAAGAACUGAGGCUGUUUUGAGACCAAACAGAGAACCU
Molecule: long non-coding RNA, 478 nt
Organism: Xiphias gladius (swordfish)
Lineage: Eukaryota; Metazoa; Chordata; Actinopteri; Istiophoriformes; Xiphiidae
Exons: 3
Source: RefSeq, a predicted model, not a curated record